GACGAACGCUGGCGGCGUGCCUAAUACAUGCAAGUUGAGCGAUGAAGCUUGGUGCUUGCACCAAUUUGAAGAGCAGCUAACGGGUGAGUAACGCGUGGGGAAUCUGCCUUUGAGCGGGGGACAACAUUUGGAAACGAAUGCUAAUACCGCAUAACAACUUUAAACAUAAGUUUUAAGUUUGAAAGAUGCAAUUGCAUCACUCAAAGAUGAUCCCGCGUUGUAUUAGCUAGUUGGUGAGGUAAAGGCUCACCAAGGCGAUGAUACAUAGCCGACCUGAGAGGGUGAUGGGCCAAAUUGGGAAUGAGACACGGCCCAAACUCCUACGGGAGGCAGCAGUAGGGAAUCUUCGGCAAUGGACGAAAGUCUGACCGAGCAACGCCGCGUGAGUGAAGAAGGUUUUCGGAUCGUAAAACUCUGUUGGUAGAGAAGAACGUUGGUGAGAGUGGAAAGCUCAUCAAGUGACGGUAACUACCCAGAAAGGGACGGCUAACUACGUG
RNAcentral lists this ribosomal RNA (497 nucleotides) under uncultured bacterium. RNAcentral describes it as "partial 16S ribosomal RNA". It matches the Rfam family "Bacterial small subunit ribosomal RNA", at positions 28 to 507 of the family's 1533-position model. The record is from RNAcentral.